This 465-nucleotide ribosomal RNA is filed under the name Triticum aestivum (bread wheat). RNAcentral describes it as "partial small subunit ribosomal RNA". Lineage: Eukaryota; Viridiplantae; Streptophyta; Magnoliopsida; Poales; Poaceae. The record is from RNAcentral.
AUGCAGAUACAAAAUAUCAAGAUUAGUGCUAACAACGCCGAGGAACUGGCGGGAUAUGAGGACGCGAAUACGAAAGAGUGUUGGCGUCAGGCUAUGGAAGGGGAGUUGAGGUCGAUCCACGACAACAAUGCAAGGGAGCUUGUGGAUCUUCCCAACAAUGAAAAAGCCAUGGAUCUCAAGUGGGAAUUUAUGAUCAAGAAAGAUGCCGAAGGGUCCGUGAAGCACAAAGCGAGGCUAGUAGCCAAAGAGUAUGUGCAAGAGAAAGGUGUGAACUUCGAAGAAGUGUUCAUUCCCAUUGCAAGGAUGGAAUCGGUGAGAUUACUCAUCGCUCUCGCGGUUCAGGAAUCAUGGAAGAUACAUCACUUGGAUGUAAAAUCCACUUUUUUGAACGGAGAGUUACAAGGAGACGUUUAUGUGAACAACCACCGGGAUUCAUCAAACAGGAAGAAGAGCACAAGGUACUGA